GGGUCUCUGCGGUGUUCGUAGCAAAAUUUUCAUUUCCCUUGUCCCUAAUAACUGACCCCGGGUACUCUACUGUUAGUACUGUGUGCAUUACCGUUGGUUUAUCCAGUGGGAAGCCUAAGGUAUUAACGAGGGUUCCCACCUGAACUUUCUGGUUCAAGGUCGCUUAUUUUGAUACGGCACAGGCGGAGACCCA
RNAcentral lists this non-coding RNA (193 nucleotides) under Gammaproteobacteria bacterium. RNAcentral describes it as "6S RNA". It matches the Rfam family "6S / SsrS RNA". Rfam says of the family: E. coli 6S RNA was the first non coding RNA to be sequenced, but its function was unknown until recently. Lineage: Bacteria; Pseudomonadati; Pseudomonadota; Gammaproteobacteria. The record is from RNAcentral.